This 468-nucleotide ribosomal RNA is filed under the name uncultured bacterium. RNAcentral describes it as "partial 16S ribosomal RNA". It matches the Rfam family "Bacterial small subunit ribosomal RNA", at positions 28 to 507 of the family's 1533-position model. The record is from RNAcentral.
GACGAACGCUGGCGGCGUGCUUAACACAUGCAAGUCGAACGGAAAGGCCCUGCUUUUGUGGGGUGCUCGAGUGGCGAACGGGUGAGUAACACGUGAGUAACCUGCCCUUGACUUUGGGAUAACUUCAGGAAACUGGGGCUAAUACCGGAUAGGAGCUCCUGCUGCAUGGUGGGGGUUGGAAAGUUUCGGCGGUUGGGGAUGGACUCGCGGCUUAUCAGCUUGUUGGUGGGGUAGUGGCUUACCAAGGCUUUGACGGGUAGCCGGCCUGAGAGGGUGACCGGCCACAUUGGGACUGAGAUACGGACCAGAGUGCUACAGGAGGCAGCAGUGGGGAAUCUUGCACAGUGGGCGGAAGCGUGAUGCAGCAACGCCGCGUGCGGGAUGCCGGCCUUCGGGUUGUAAACCGCUUUCGGCUGUGACGAAGCGUGAGUGACGGUAAUGGGUAAAGAAGCACCGGCUAACUACGUG